RNAcentral lists this long non-coding RNA (1728 nucleotides) under Anser cygnoides (Swan goose). Its description in RNAcentral is "lncRNA (ENSACDG00005001651.1)". Lineage: Eukaryota; Metazoa; Chordata; Aves; Anseriformes; Anatidae. The record is from RNAcentral.
UUUAAACCUCAGCUGUUUGCGAUUUACAGUACAGCUUCAGAUCUGACCACCACCGACAGGAAAAGACGUGCGUCACUGCUGGCAGCAGCCCAGCUGGUCUCGGACGGCACCGCGGGGACCCUCCGCGGCUGCUCGCGGAGCGGCGCCCGUGCUGCCUCGCCGCUGGGGCCGGGCCGGGCCGAGCCGGGCCGGGCCGGGCCGGGGGGCGGAGCCGCAGGGCCGGGAGCGCGCCGGCGGCGGGUUGGGCUGUGUCACGCGGCCGCGGGGCUGCCAAGGCCGAACGGAAACACCACUCUCGCGGCGGCCGGAACCGGGCUACCAUAUUUGGCGUUUCCUCCGGGCCUUUUAAGGCGCUUCCGAGGCCCAAAAAAGGCUUUUCCUGCUCACGCCCUCUUGGGGCCGUACCGCGGAGCUUCCGGGGGCCGCCGCGCCGCNNNNNNNNNNNNNNNNNNNNNNNNNGGGCGCCCCGGCGGGCGUCUCGCUCGGGAGGGGCCCCGCCCGGCCCUUGCCGCGGGCCGCUCGUUUCGCGGCCGCGGGCCCGGGCAGCGGGUGCUCCGUGCGGGCCCCUGUGGCGGGCCCGGGGCCCUCAGGACGCACUGCGGACGCCCGCUCGCGGCGCGGCCCAAGGGAGCUGCGGCUGUGCGCUACCGUCUGAAUGGCUGUGCUCCCAGCGACCUUUGGAGGGCAGGCCUCUGGCCUUCCCUCGCUGUCGGGUGCUGCUACGGUUUGUUUAAUAGGGAGUGUGUCGCUUUGCCUGUACGCCUCAGAAAUAGCUGUGAGUUGCUCUUAACCAUGGGCCUUGGCUGACAGAAGAGAUGAGACUUAGCAGGAAGAAUAGAGAGCUACAAGUGGAGAUUUUGGAGUGAAGAGCGAUGUGAUCAUGGGCCAUUCUUUCCUCAGCAGCUUUCACUGGUCCAUGUCUGGACCAUGGAGGAUCUGAGAAAGAGCUUAAGUAACCCCCAAGAAAAAUUACUUUUUAGACCCUAACCUGACAUUCAUGGAGUGAAGUGAUCUGAGCUGCAGAAGGCACCCUUAGGAGAGCUGCCCACAAGCACACCUUCACCAUUGUUGAGUUUGACUGAAGACAGGUGAAGUGGUUGAAGGUUGGCUCAUGAAGAACUGUAACUGAGGUCUCUAAGGCUAUGUUUGUUGACUUUUGAUAUAAGUAUCCGUUUCGUUCAAAAGUUUUCUGUUUGUGGCCCAGUUGACUAGAAUUCUCAAGAGUUACGUGUGGAGGUAAAAAAUACUUAGGAAGAGGGUUUAGAUGUGUCACUCUUGAGCCAUACGUUGCAUGUUUUUACAUGUGUACAUUUUCUGCGUGUAGCCAUACUGCUGGUUACACCUAGAGGGGAGGCUCUAUGUUUUAAAGUACUCUGAGGCUCUAGGAUGAUGUAUGAGCUGUAGAUAAUGAACAAGAACUUUUUAAAUAGUUAAGUUGUUCUGCUAUAAUCAAAAUGUCUUUGUUUUUAAAAACCCAGGCUUGACUUACAGGCUAAUGAUUUAUGAUCUUGACUUGACUAAAGAAACUUAAUCCUGUUAAAGAACAGAAAACAACAUAUAUGCAUAGUGUCUAGUGUUCUUUGGGCUUUGAUUUCUGAUUGUUCUUUGACACUGCCGUAAUGAAAAUGACAGAUGGUUAGGCAGUAUUAUUCUCAACAUUCACAUUUCACUUCCUUACCUACAAAAAAUAUUAAUAAAGCGUGGUUCUGUAUUUUUUUUAAUUAAUAU